This 2460-nucleotide long non-coding RNA is filed under the name Apis mellifera (honey bee). RNAcentral's name for it is "uncharacterized LOC100578777, transcript variant X4". Lineage: Eukaryota; Metazoa; Arthropoda; Insecta; Hymenoptera; Apidae. The record is from RNAcentral.
GGAAAAUAUGGCGUCAGUCUAUUGUCGAAAAUCGCGGUGAAAUACGCGUUACACCGAAAUCUGUGCAUAAUUACGUGAAAUUAAUAUUAAAAUUUAUACUUUAUCUAUUUCGAGUGCAAUUAUUCGAUUAAUGUGCGUGUGUUUAAUCAUUUAUUAAGUAGAAAUAUAUCAAAAUUGAAUAGUUUUUGAACUCUUUUAUCGUUUCACGUUGCUCUUCAAUUUGAUCUAAUUAAUGAAAUAACUUAUCAAUAUGGACGCCACAACGGUCAAUCAGAUAAUUUACUUUUAAAAAUUUUUGUGAUCGCGUGCAAUGCGAUUAGUAGAGUCAGUGUUUGCUUCGUAACAGUAUUUUUUAAAACGUUUUUAAUGUAUAAUUGUUCUAUAAUUAAAAUUAAUUAUACGUUUUUUGUAAAAUUCGAGUCAGUGUUCGUCGAUUAGAUAUAACUUGAACAAUUGUGUCGAUAGUUUUUUAUUUUUUCUUAAAUAUUCGUUUUCGAUACAUAUUAGAAUCAGUGUUUCAAGAAAAUGAAGCGAUCGUCUGCUCGAAAAGAUAUUUCCCAAUCUCUUCACCUGUGUUUACAUCUUGAUUUCUUCUAGCAGCAUGACGAUGUCCUUCGCAUCUAAUGUUUCUCGUAGUCAUCGAUGACGCGUUUAGAGGAGUCAUAAGGAAGAGCUAGACAACUUGUAACAAUACCAGCCUCCAAAAUAAUGUGCUCGAAGACGCAAACACGUCAAUUAAGUUGAUUUCACAGUUACGAAACGAGACAUGGGAAAAAGGACGAGAAGAAGAAACAUUUUUAACGAUAAGCUUUGCCACCGCCUGCCACUAUACUUAGGUCGGGGUCCUCCUCCGCCUGGGAAACUUUUAAAGAGGCCGAAGAAGAAUAUUCGCAAAUGGAGUACUCAAGUUGCAGUUUGCGGUCAGUACGCUCAUAUUAUGCAGCCGUGAUCUUUGUAGAUUACAAACGAAAGUCUUUUCUCUUAGUGGCGUUCCGGUGAUGUUAAACUUUUGUGGGCCAGCGGCCGUCCAUUACGGUGAUAACAUUGCAGCCAUCAAGCUUACCACACUGCGCUUACUCCUCCCCCCAUCUUUCGAACAAGAAGAAGAAGAAGAAGAAACUGCUUUUAAUCUUCAAAGAGGAUUCUUUUAACCCUUUGUACAUAAGUAGAUUUCUCCCGUUCCUUGCGAAACGAAAUUUAUCAUAAUCCCUUGGCGUUUCUUAAACUUAAGUAAAUACGAAUCUUUACGAAUAUUGUAUAUACGAAUAUCCAUAAUUCCACGAAAUGAAUGAAGGGUAUGAUAAUUUGGCUUUGGAAAGAAGACACGAUAAUUCUACGAAACGAAUAAAGAAUUAUCGAAAGAGUAGAAGGUAAGUGAAAUUUCGGAAAAAAUUUACCACCUUGUCAAUUUUCCAGAAACUAAUUCUAUCUAUAACUAUUUCUAAAUCCUUGUACCUCCCGUACUCGAAUAACUCUUGUAUAAUACUCGAUAAAUAAUGUAAAAUUUUAAGUACGAGGAAUAAAUAGGUGGAAUAAGUCAGGUAGCGGAGAAACUUUCGAGCGAAAACGGUAAACAAGACGGAGAAGAAAACCGUGGCUAAUACCCACGAUUCGAUCGUAAAGCGAAGGGAAAGGCUUUCGCCCUGGAACGUAGUCGCCCGGUAGUCACCUGUAAUCUGCCCGUAAACGGUUUAAACUACGCUAAUUCUCCUCCACCUCGGGAAAACAUCUCCCCAGACCAAGCCUCUUAGGAGGAAACGCUCGUUAGGCUUGCCUUGUAAGCGGCCGGUAUACCUGCGUGCCGUGUUUCACCUCGAGAUAUCCCGCGAGAACACGUGAGAAUCGAAAGUAUCGGAAAGAAAAACGGACCGUUUCAAACCGGGUGAUGCGCGUAACGUUUGCGCGAGCACAGUGCUGGCGGCGGUGGUGGUGGGGGAAGCGGCGGUUCGAACGCGCGAUUCUAAUACCCGAUUAUAGCCGCGUUUAACACGAGCGUCUUCCGUUUCGACAACGCAACGCGGAUAGAAACGCGGCGGUUUCGUCGUUAAGGGAACGAACGGGACGAAUCGGCCGCUCGCUCGCGUGUGUUUAAUCGGAUCGUCCGUAUCAAUCGGCCUCGCGUGAAUACCACUACUGCUAUUACUGGCAUCACUGCAGGUCCAACUGCGGCUAAUGAUAUCGUAGGGACGAAGGAUUUCGCGUUUGUGUGUCUGCAGGUAUAUAUAUGUGUGUACUGCAUCAGAGGGGUGAUAUUAGGAGGGAGGGAAGGGGCUCGUUAUGGUCGGUUUUGGGGCAGGAUAUGGUUUGGGAGUAGUGUAUUUAAGAGCCGUCGUACGUGUUUAAUAUACGGGAAGCGUUGGAUACACGUUAUCGUCACGAUCGACGUGUAGUUGUAACCUUGAUAAUUUGCAGAGAGAUCUUCUCUUUUGAAUGGUAAAUAAAUCUUGCGCGUGUGUGUAA